Molecule: long non-coding RNA, 267 nt
Organism: Haliotis rubra (blacklip abalone)
Lineage: Eukaryota; Metazoa; Mollusca; Gastropoda; Lepetellida; Haliotidae
Exons: 3
Source: RefSeq, a predicted model, not a curated record
GUAGAAAUACUGUUCUCUCUAGGAUAGUAGUGAUCUUUAGAUUCUCUUUUUUAAUGUGAUUUUACAAAUAUCAAAACAUCUUGGCGGACCUAAGAGAAAUAUAUUCUAUGUUUCGCUUUAUCGAUUUAGUUUUGCUAUUGUCAUUCUUUAGCUAUUGCCAGUCUGUAGGUGACCCGAAAUUGAAACUGUUGAGAGGUUCAAUAACAGUUCUUUCUGGGACUACGUGGGAUCUAUAUAUUUCAUUUGCUUGUCAUUUACUAAUCUAUA